GACGAACGCUGGCGGCGUGCUUAACACAUGCAAGUCGAACGGAAAGGCCCUGCUUUUGUGGGGUGCUCGAUUGGCGAACGGGUGAGUAACACGUGUGUAACCUGCCCUUGUCUUUCGGAUAACUUCAGGAAACUGGGGCUAAUAUCGGAUAGGAGCUCCUGCUCCAUGGUGGGGGUUGGAAAGUUUCGGCGGUUGGGGAUGGACUCGCGGCUUAUGAGCUUGUUGGUGGGGUAGUGGCUUACCAAGGCUUUGACGGGUAGCCGGCCUGAGAGGGUGGCCGGCGACAUUAGUACUGAGAUACGGCGCAGACUCGUACGGGAGGCAGCAGUGGGGAAUAUGACACAAUGGGCGGAAGCCUGAUGCAGCGACGCCGCGUGCGGGAUGACGGCCUUCGGGUUAUAAACCGCUUUCGCCUGUGACGAAGCGUGAGUGACGGUAAUGGGUAAAGAAGCACCGGCUAACUACGUG
This 468-nucleotide ribosomal RNA is filed under the name uncultured bacterium. RNAcentral describes it as "partial 16S ribosomal RNA". It matches the Rfam family "Bacterial small subunit ribosomal RNA", at positions 28 to 507 of the family's 1533-position model. The record is from RNAcentral.